UAUAUUUGCGGUUCGAAAGAAAACCUUUCGUUGUACAUAACAAUCAUUUACAAUAAUAUUAGCAUG
Molecule: non-coding RNA, 66 nt
Filed under: unclassified sequences
Description: S15-Flavobacteria ribosomal protein leader
Rfam family: S15-Flavobacteria ribosomal protein leader
Source: RNAcentral